RNAcentral lists this unclassified non-coding RNA (1986 nucleotides) under Bombyx mandarina (wild silkworm). RNAcentral describes it as "voltage-dependent L-type calcium channel subunit beta-2, transcript variant X2". The record is from RNAcentral. Lineage: Eukaryota; Metazoa; Arthropoda; Insecta; Lepidoptera; Bombycidae.
UGCUCUGUUAGUAAGUUUCAAGUGUUUGAUGAUUAUAUUUAAAAUAAAAAGUGUACAGUGAGAUGUGUGUUUUAUGACAAAGGAUGUGUUUUUAAACAUGGAUCACUUCAUACGGCAGCGAUAUAAAAGGGCGGGACGACGGGGCUCCGCGGAGUCGAAUUGUUCGCAGCCGUCGUCGGAGCUGUCGCUGGACGAUGACAAGGAGGCGCUGCGCAGAGAAAAGGAAGCGCAGGCUCUCUCACAGCUGGAUAAGGCGAGGUCAAAGCCGGUCGCGUUCGCCGUCCGCACGAACGUCGCUUACGACGCGAAGAUCGACGACGACUCGCCCGUGCACGGCACCGCCAUCUCCUUCGACGUUCGAGACUUCCUGCACAUUAAGGAGAAAUACGACAACAACUGGUGGAUCGGUCGGCUCGUGGCGGAGAACUCUGACAUAGGGUUCAUCCCGUCCCCCGUGAAGCUGGAGAUGGUGCGCGCGGGGCUGGCCGCCAGGGGCCGCUCCGCGCUCGCCGCCCACCCCCACUCCCGAGGUAGCACUCCCCCCACGCCCGAUGUACCCUCCUUCGAUCGAGGUGACGAGUCCGACUCGGCGGGCAGGGGGCGCGGGGCGGGCGCGCUGCCCGCUGGCAAGGAAAAGAAGAAGCCAUUCUUCAAGAAGCAGGAGGCCUGCACUCCGUACGACGUGGUGCCCUCGAUGAGGCCGGUCGUCCUCGUGGGACCCUCGCUCAAAGGAUACGAAGUCACGGACAUGAUGCAGAAGGCGCUUUUUGAUUUCUUAAAAAGGCGCUUCGAAGGACGGAUAAUAAUAACGAGGGUGAUGGCGGACAUAUCGCUGGCGAAGCGUUCGCUGCUCAACAACCCCUCCAAAAGGGCCAUCAUGGAGCGCUCCAACUCGCGCUCCACCUGCCUGGCCGAGGUGCAGGCUGAAAUCGAGAGGAUAUUCGACCUGGCGCGGACCCUGCAGCUGGUGGUGCUGGACUGCGACACCAUCAACCACCCGUCGCAGCUGGCCAAGACCUCACUAGCGCCCACCAUUGUCUACUUAAAGAUCACCAGCCCCAAGGUGUUGCAGCGAUUGAUCAAGUCCCGGGGCAAGGGCCAGACCAAGAACCUGUCCGUGCAAAUGGUGGCGGCCGAGAAGCUGUCGCAGUGUCCCAAGGAGAUGUUCGACCUCGUGCUGGACGAGAACCAGCUGGAGGACGCCUGCGACCGCAUCGCAGAGCAUCUGGAGAAGUACUGGCGCGCCACGCACCCCCCCGCCGCCGCCCCGCUGGCGCCGCCCGCCGCCCCCCGCGCGCACCUCGCCCCCCUGCCCCACCUCGCGCACCUCGCGCACGCCCAGCCCGUACAAGCGUCUGGUCAAGCUCAUUAACCAUCGCCCCGGGGACCUUAGAUCCUUCUCAUAAGUCAGGGACGCCGGCAGAUACCACAGGUUUAACAUUACUGGCCGCGCAUUGCAGAGGCUUGUGGAAUGUACGCUUAUACUAACUAACCUUGACCCCUCUUACAUCCGCCUGUCAGGGCCGCACUUUGGUUGUAAUGGAAUGGAAAUGUUUUAUUAACUUUUUUGAGUCUCAUUGACAUUGUUUGAUGCCUCAAUCCUCACAAUGAGAGGACUUAAUAUUUGUUUCGACUGUCUCACUUCCAUUUUUUCUUUAACAUCAAUCUAAACUAGUUCUAAUUGCCAUUCGCCAAGAUCGUUUUCACAAGUCAGACGGGCUUCAGACGCGGUCUGACGUAGAAGUUUUCCACAGGAGUGCGCUCCCCUCCCCCCUCGGCGGAGGUGGUCCUUCCUUGUCCGGGGAUAAUCCGCAACUCCGGGGAGGUCACGUUGCAGUAGUCAACUACUGUGUUAUAGGUCUAAGUGACAGCGGGCGAGCCCGCGGGCCGCGCCCCGAGCGGCUGGAGGAGGAGUACUACGGGCGGGAGCGGUACGCGCGCGAGUACGAGUACGGACACGACUACACGCGCCGCGACCCCGACGCC